UACGUAGGUGGCAAGCGUUAUCCGGAUUUACUGGGUGUAAAGGGCGUGUAGGCGGGACUGCAAGUCAGAUGUGAGAGCCACGGGCUCAACCUGUGGCCUGCAUUUGAAACUGUAGUUCUUGAGUACUGGAGAGGCAGACGGAAUUCCUAGUGUAGCGGUGAAAUGCGUAGAUAUUAGGAGGAACACCAGUGGCGAAGGCGGUCUGCUGGACAGCAACUGACGCUGAGGCGCGAAAGCGUGGGGAGCAAACAGG
RNAcentral lists this ribosomal RNA (253 nucleotides) under uncultured bacterium. RNAcentral's name for it is "partial 16S ribosomal RNA". It matches the Rfam family "Bacterial small subunit ribosomal RNA", at positions 524 to 776 of the family's 1533-position model. The record is from RNAcentral.